UUGAGAGAGAGUUAAGAGGACGUGAAACCGGUGAGGUGGAAACGGAUAGAGUCGGCGUAUCUUUCAAGUAUUCAUUUGCAAUUUUAUCCUAUUGUGAUUUCUGAGCUCCAGAUUGGGACAGUUUUUACUUUAUUGUAAAAUUGUGAUGCAUUUGCUUGUUUGGUGCGUAGGGAUGUUUGAAAUAGAUUUGUGACCUCCGUUUUGAGGCCAGCUUGCUGGUACCCAAACGGUGUUAGCAUUUUUUAUUUUGGAUAUUUGAGUAUGGAUUACGGGUGUUUAUUGGUUCGAUCUGAGUGUAAGUUACGGUCGCAUGCGACACGUGCUUUGCAGUUAGUUCGGUCCAGUUAAUGCUCUCAUACUCUUUCCCUAUGUAAAAGCCGGUCAUCUAUCCGACCCGUCUUGAAACACGGACCAAGGAGUUUAUCGUGUGCGCAAGUUUUUGGGUGUUUAAAACCUAAAAGCGCAAUGAAAGUAAAUGUUCUCUUUUGAGACUGAUGUGCGAUAUUUUCCAUCAAGGAAGAUUGCAGCAUGGCCCCAUUCUAUCUGUUUACAGAAGGGUGGCGGAAGAGCGUACGCGGUGAGACCCGAAAGAUGGUGAACUAUUCCUGAGCAGGAUGAAGCCAGAGGAAACUCUGGUGGAAGUCCGAAGCGGUUCUGACGUGCAAAUCGAUCGUCUGACUUGGGUAUAGGGGCGAAAGACUAAUCGAACC
Molecule: ribosomal RNA, 710 nt
Filed under: Meloidogyne graminis
Lineage: Eukaryota; Metazoa; Nematoda; Chromadorea; Rhabditida; Meloidogynidae
Description: partial large subunit ribosomal RNA
Rfam family: Eukaryotic large subunit ribosomal RNA
Source: RNAcentral